RNAcentral lists this ribosomal RNA (362 nucleotides) under Noturus taylori (Caddo madtom). RNAcentral describes it as "SSU rRNA". It matches the Rfam family "Eukaryotic small subunit ribosomal RNA", at positions 595 to 944 of the family's 1831-position model. The record is from RNAcentral. Lineage: Eukaryota; Metazoa; Chordata; Actinopteri; Siluriformes; Ictaluridae.
UAGCGUAUAUUAAAGUUGCUGCAGUUAAAAAGCUCGUAGUUGGAUCUCGGGAGUGGGUUGGCGGUCCGCCGCAAGGCGAGCCACCGCCUGUCCCAGACCCUGCCUCCCCGGCGCCCCCCGGAUGCCCUUGGCUGGGUGUCCGGUCCCUUGCAGGGGCCCGGAGCGUUUACUUUGAAAAAAUUAGAGUGUUCAAAGCGGGCCGCCCAACUCGCCUGAAUACCUGAGCUAGGAAUAAUGGAAUAGGACUCCGGUUCUAUUUUGUGGGUUUUCGGAACCAGGGCCAUGAUUAAGAGGGACGGCCGGGGGCAUUCGUAUUGCGCCGCUAGAGGUGAAAUUCUUGGACCGGCGCAAGACGGACGAAA